Molecule: long non-coding RNA, 967 nt
Organism: Nicotiana attenuata
Lineage: Eukaryota; Viridiplantae; Streptophyta; Magnoliopsida; Solanales; Solanaceae
Exons: 2
Source: RefSeq, a predicted model, not a curated record
CUGCCACAAAGUAGCUGCCACAUUGGAUUCAUUCAUGAGGGAAUAAUCUUUCUUUAAACCUUAUCUAAUAAGACCUUUCUUGCUUCCCAAUUCAAUGGCUUAGCUAUAUAAACACACACAAAAACAAACGCCCAGGGGACCGCCAAAUAGAUCUGGACAAAAAAGAAAGGAGCCCUUUUCCUUCGUGAAAUUUAACUGAAGGCAGCAAUAGCUCCCUGCCGGUUCUCCUCCAUUAGAAGCUCUCGUUUUCACCACCAAAACACCACCUAAACAUCACCACAAACACCCUGAAAAUGCAGUUGAAACACAGCUCCAAAAUACCUCAAAAAAUGCAGCAAAAUCGCCCUUCCUCUUCAGCCACCAAACAGCUAAAAAUUAGUGCUUAAACGCAGCUGAAAUCCACCCAGAAACAGCCCCAAAAACACUGUCAAAACCAGUCCCCUUUUUUUCCAAAACGACCCCAAAAAUAGCUGCCGAAUCAGCCCCAAAGAAGCUCUAAAUUCAGCUGAAAAACAGCUCGAAAACAGCCCCCUUUCCUCAUAAAACAACAGUAUUUUGGUCGGGUUCGAGUCUAAUUUUCCAACGAGCUUUACACGGCGAGUUUCGAGGUUCCGGCGGGGUCGCCUUCAGAUCCGGUUGUCAUUCAAUUUGUUCUGGCCAAAAUUCUGAUUCUAGUUUUGCCUCAUUAAUACAAAGAUCCAAGUACUUCUGAUCGUGUUGUUUUUGAGAGUUGCAUCUGCGCGGCUGGAGACUUCAAGGUGUACCUACUUGACAUUCGCAAGCCUCAGAGUCACCUUCGGAUAUUAUCUUUACUGUUGUUUAUCUUCCUUUCAAAAUAAUAUUGUAUUUAGAAAUUCUAGUGUAUGUCAGUAGAGCUUAUGACUAUGUACCACCGGUGUGGCGAUUGUUUAACAUUUGUUCAGUUUUAGUUAGGUUAUUUCAUUUAUCAGUUUAAGUUUUAUAUAGU